CAGAACACCACAGGAUCCCCACUGUACCCCGCUGUUCAUCAGAAAUCACAUGUAAUGCACUGAGCACAUGAUUCAGGAUUUCAGUGUUGCAGUGCUUCUGUGGUUGUUUAUGGAUGUGCUGCCUGAUGCUGCUGGAAGUUCAUGUGUUUUGGGAUUUAAGGUCUUACAGCAGCACUGAGAGUUUUGACACUAGCGUUUGUUUAGCAGACGUGAUGGUGGAGCGCAUGCUAGUCAUC
Long non-coding RNA from Carassius gibelio (silver crucian carp), 236 nucleotides. RefSeq lists it as uncharacterized. The record is from RefSeq and is a predicted model, not a curated record. The transcript is spliced from 3 exons. NCBI's taxonomy places the organism in Eukaryota, Metazoa, Chordata, Actinopteri, Cypriniformes, Cyprinidae.